Molecule: ribosomal RNA, 587 nt
Filed under: uncultured bacterium
Lineage: Bacteria
Description: bacterial SSU rRNA
Rfam family: Bacterial small subunit ribosomal RNA
Source: RNAcentral
CCUACGGGAGGCAGCAGUGGGGAAUUUUGGACAAUGGGCGAAAGCCUGAUCCAGCCAUGCCGCGUGAGUGAAGAAGGCCUUCGGGUUGUAAAGCUCUUUCGGCUGGGAAGAAAUCGCACAGGCUAAUACUCUGUGUGGAUGACGGUACCAGCACAAGAAGCACCGGCUAACUACGUGCCAGCAGCCGCGGUAAUACGUAGGGUGCGAGCGUUAAUCGGAAUUACUGGGCGUAAAGCGUGCGCAGGCGGUUGUGCAAGACAGAUGUGAAAUCCCCGGGCUCAACCUGGGAACUGCAUUUGUGACUGCACGACUAGAGUACGGCAGAGGGGGGUAGAAUUCCACGUGUAGCAGUGAAAUGCGUAGAGAUGUGGAGGAAUACCGAUGGCGAAGGCAGCCCCCUGGGCCGAUACUGACGCUCAUGCACGAAAGCGUGGGGAGCAAACAGGAUUAGAUACCCUGGUAGUCCACGCCCUAAACGAUGUCAACUAGUUGUUGGUAGGGUUAAACCUAUUAGUAACGUAGCUAACGCGUGAAGUUGACCGCCUGGGGAGUACGGUCGCAAGAUUAAAACUCAAAGGAAUUGACGG